Molecule: non-coding RNA, 87 nt
Organism: Gossypium raimondii (Peruvian cotton)
Lineage: Eukaryota; Viridiplantae; Streptophyta; Magnoliopsida; Malvales; Malvaceae
Source: Rfam
CACGUCAGUGCGCUUUGCUUACGUGGACACAAAUCGCGCCUACGAGGCCGCGAUUUGUGUCCACGUAAGCAAAGCGCGCUGACGUGG